UACGAAGGGACCUAGCGUAGUUCGGAAUUACUGGGCUUAAAGAGUUCGUAGGUGGUUAAAAAAGUUGAUGGUGAAAUCCCAAGGCUCAACCUUGGAACUGCCAUCAAAACUUUUUAGCUAGAGUGUGAUAGAGGAAAGUGGAAUUUCUAGUGUAGAGGUGAAAUUCGUAGAUAUUAGAAAGAACAUCAAAAGCGAAGGCAACUUUCUGGAUCAUUACUGACACUGAGGAACGAAAGCAUGGGUAGCGAAGAGGAUUAGAUACCCUCGUAGUCCAUGCCGUAAACGAUGUGUGCUAGACGUUGGAAACUUAGUUUUCAGUGUCGCAGCGAAAGCAUUAAGCACACCGCCUGGGGAGUACGACCGCAAGGUUAAAACUCAAAUGAAUUGACGGGGACCCGCACAAGUAGUGGAGCAUGUGGUUUAAUUCGAAGAUACGCGCAGAACCUUACCAACACUUGACAUGUUCGUCGCGACUCUGAGAGAUCAGAGUUUUCGGUUCGGCCGGACGAAACACAGGUGCUGCAUGGCUGUCGUCAGCUCGUGUCGUGAGAUGUUGGGUUAAGUUCCGCAACGAGCGCAACCCCUACCUUUAGUUGCCACCAUUAAGUUGGGCACUUUAAAGGAACUGCCAGUGAUAAGCUGGAGGAAGGUGGGGAUGACGUCAAGUCCUCAUGGCCCUUACGUGUUGGGCUACACACGUGCUACAAUGGCACUUACAGUGGGAAGCUAAGACGCGAGUCCAAGCUAAUCCCUAAAAUGUGCCUCAGUUCGGAUUGCACUCUGUAACUCGAGUGCAUGAAGCUGGAAUUACUAGUAAUCGCGGAUCAGCGCGCCGCGGUGAAUACGUUCCCGGGUCU
RNAcentral lists this ribosomal RNA (857 nucleotides) under uncultured bacterium. RNAcentral describes it as "SSU rRNA". It matches the Rfam family "Bacterial small subunit ribosomal RNA", at positions 524 to 1381 of the family's 1533-position model. The record is from RNAcentral.